RNAcentral lists this transfer RNA (72 nucleotides) under Ovis aries (sheep). It matches the Rfam family "tRNA". From Rfam's summary of the family: Transfer RNA (tRNA) molecules are approximately 80 nucleotides in length. The record is from Rfam by way of RNAcentral. Lineage: Eukaryota; Metazoa; Chordata; Mammalia; Artiodactyla; Bovidae.
UCCCUGGUGGCUCAGACGGUAAAGUGUCUGUCUACAAUACAGGAGACCCAGAUUCGAGCCCUGGGUUGGGAA